AUUGUAGUCUGNAACCCGACUACAUGAAGCUGGAAUCGCUAGUAAUCGCGAAUCAGAAUGUCGCGGUGAAUACGUUCCCGGGUCUUGUACACACCGCCCGUCACACCAUGGGAGUCGGAAAUGCCCGAAGUCAGUGACCUAACCGAAAGGGAGGAGCUGCCGAAGGUGGAGCCGGUAACUGGGGUGAAGUCGUAACAAGGUAGC
This 204-nucleotide ribosomal RNA is filed under the name uncultured bacterium. RNAcentral describes it as "partial 16S ribosomal RNA". It matches the Rfam family "Bacterial small subunit ribosomal RNA", at positions 1297 to 1500 of the family's 1533-position model. The record is from RNAcentral.